Oryza brachyantha (malo sina) is the source of this 997-nucleotide RNA transcript. It is a transcript of the gene named 60S ribosomal protein L18a-like protein, with no coding region annotated. The transcript has 5 exons. The record is from RefSeq and is a predicted model, not a curated record. Lineage: Eukaryota; Viridiplantae; Streptophyta; Magnoliopsida; Poales; Poaceae.
CUGAGUUCUCUCCGUCGUCUCUCUCCCCUUCGCUGCACGGGCGGCCGGCCGGCCGGCGAGCUGCCCCUCCGAGCUCUCCCCUGCGGCGGCGGCGGCCCAGGACGGGCUUCUCCUCCCGCCGCCUGCGCUGACCCCCCGCGAGCAGGGGCGCCGCCGUCGUCCUUCAUCGUGACCGCAACAUGACCAUCCUAGAAAACAUGUAUCAUUGAUGCCCUUAUACGCAUGUUGGUAUGAAUGAUCCUUGUUACGGCACGGAGGAAUCUGCAACACGGAUAUUGUGCUACGGCACUGAGGAAUCUGCAGCACAGAUAUUGUAUUAAGGUUACUGGCUGCUUCUUUGCUGAUCUGCUCUAAAAUAAAUGGGGGAAGGCUCGGAUCAAUUUUGCCAUUGCCAGGGCUGUCUUGGCAAGUAUACAUUGCUCAGAGAUGAAGAAAAUCCACGGUUGGCAAUGUUUGAGAGACGCCUUCCUUGCUUCGGUUGUGGUAUAGGAUGGUCCUCGUUUCUUUUAGGUUUCUUGUGUCCAUUGAUCUGGUACUAUGCAGCGGCACUUUACUGCUUCAAGUACUACAAUAAGGAUCCCCGAGAGCGCCCAGGUCUUGCUGCAUCAGCGGUUGCGGCGGCUAUCUUCACAACCGCAACAAUCAUCACCCUUACCACGAUGCUGAUAAUCUGUCUAUACAAAUAAUAUCUGAAACUGGGAAAACAUGGCUGGAGGAUCCUCGAUUGAGAGACUUGAGACAUUCAGGAUGAGCUUGUGAUGUUAGUGGUUGCAAACAUAUUUAACCCAUCAUUUGCCACAUCGUUGUACUCACUUGUAUGGGUUCCUGAUCGAAACACGUUACUAGCUUCAUCUGCUACUCUCCUUUGGGUUAUACUCUAUUAUGUUCAUUUGUUAUUAUUAUUAAAUAUUAAUAUUACUGACUGACUGCUAUCACUAACUCUGAGCUCACCGGGUUUCUUUUUUGAUACGAGCUGUCAAAAUUCUAUUGAACAAUU